Molecule: ribosomal RNA, 506 nt
Filed under: uncultured bacterium
Lineage: Bacteria
Description: partial 16S ribosomal RNA
Rfam family: Bacterial small subunit ribosomal RNA
Source: RNAcentral
AUUGAACGCUGGCGGCAGGCCUAACACAUGCAAGUCGGACGGUAGCACAGAGGAGCUUGCUCCUCGGGUGACGAGUGGCGGACGGGUGAGUAAUGUCUGGGGAUCUGCCCGAUAGAGGGGGAUAACCACUGGAAACGGUGGCUAAUACCGCAUAACGUCGCAAGACCAAAGAGGGGGACCUUCGGGCCUCUCACUAUCGGAUGAACCCAGAUGGGAUUAGCUAGUAGGCGGGGUAACGGCCCACCUAGGCGACGAUCCCUAGCUGGUCUGAGAGGAGGACCAGCCACAAUGGAACGGAGACACGGUCCAGACUCCUACGGGAGGCAGCAGUGGGGAAUAUUGCACAAUGGGCGCAAGCCUGAUGCAGCCAUGCCGCGUGUAUGAAGAAGGCCUUCGGGUUGUAAAGUACUUUCAGCGGGGAGGAAGGCGAUGUGGUUAAUAACCGCAUUGAUUGACGUUACCCGCAGAAGAAGCACCGGCUAACUCCGUGCCAGCCGCCGCGGUAA